Long non-coding RNA from Tyto alba (common barn owl), 712 nucleotides. RefSeq lists it as uncharacterized. The transcript is spliced from 4 exons. Lineage: Eukaryota; Metazoa; Chordata; Aves; Strigiformes; Tytonidae. The record is from RefSeq and is a predicted model, not a curated record.
CGCGCUCCACGCCCGAGUCGGUGCUGCGCCGCUUGCCCGCGGGCUUCCUCAGGGGCAUGGCUGCCACCCCGCCAGACAAACGCAACGCUCCGCGCCCGGGAAGCUUUUCGGCCACGGCUGAACCCGGCACAUGAGGAGCUGCGGUAGGAUGGGUUGACGGCUUCCAUCCCCGCGGAGCGAUUGAAACAGACACUUACCUAAGCUGUUUCCUCCACAACCCUGCAAGAUCCGUCUGGCUCGCUUUUUGGCAUCUUCUGGAAAACUUGGACUGUCCAACAGGUUUGGUUAGGGGCAGGCUUUCAAGGUGUGUGGUAGAGGCAGUCUGACUGGAUUGUAACUGGCCUCUGCCAGCAGGCAGAGAUUUGGAAAAAAGAAGCUUGCAGAACAGGAGCUCUAAUAACAAACUCGGGAGCAGUAAGUACCAGAUUGAUAUUUAUGUCUAUUGAAGAGGGUAUGGACCACAUCAAGGAGAAAAAACAAUCUCCAGCCCUAUAAAACAACCACCGCUACAGCCUUCUGCCUUUGGUGGCACCUCACACUGUCCUGACAAAAUGAUUCAUCUUCAUCUUGGGAACAAAGUCAGUCUUCUGCCAUUCUUUUGAAAUUGUUAGCAAAGAGACUAAUUGUAAUAGCCAUUUUUAAAGCUGAAGAAGCCAUCUUGUACUUUUAAGUUCACAUGUAAAGCAGAAAAUAUAAAAAUGUGUUAAUUUUU